RNAcentral lists this unclassified non-coding RNA (250 nucleotides) under Venturia sp. (in: ascomycete fungi). RNAcentral's name for it is "partial contains 5.8S ribosomal RNA, internal transcribed spacer 2, and large subunit ribosomal RNA". Lineage: Eukaryota; Fungi; Ascomycota; Dothideomycetes; Venturiales; Venturiaceae. The record is from RNAcentral.
AACGCACAUUGCGCCCAUUAGUAUUCUAGUGGGCAUGCCUGUUCGAGCGUCAUUUCAACCCUCAAGCCCUAGCUGCUUGGUAUUGGGAGCUUGUCUGCGGACAACUCCUCAAAAGCAUUGGCGGAGUCGCGGUGACCCCAAGCGUAGUAAUUCUUCUCGCUUAGGUGUGUUAACGCUGGCGUUCAGCCACUAAACCCCCUAUUUUCUAGUGGUUGACCUCGGAUCAGGUAGGAAUACCCGCUGAACUUAA